Molecule: long non-coding RNA, 259 nt
Filed under: Mytilus galloprovincialis (Mediterranean mussel)
Lineage: Eukaryota; Metazoa; Mollusca; Bivalvia; Mytilida; Mytilidae
Source: RNAcentral
GAUUAAUCAUAUGAGACAUUACUUUAGUUUUUGCAUGCUAUAAAACGAGGAGUAUUACACAAAAUGUUAAGGAAUAGUUCUUAAAAAUUUCAGAUGAAUUUAGUUACUAGUGUCUAGUGUAUUGCCAUCUAGGAAUUUCAAAGAUAAUGUAUGCUUAAAGUAAAUAAAAGAGAAAAGAAAUGUAUGCUUUAAGUGUCACACUGAUGUAAGCCAUGACGGACUGCAUGAAACAUGCAAUUACAUGAAAACACAUUAUGCC